CCUCCUUUCUUCCGCCGUGGGGCCUCUUGCCCCCUGGGCGCCCGCCUGCUGCAGCAACGCCGCGUGAAGGAAGAAGGGUUUCGGCUCGUAAACUUCUAUCAACAGGGACGAAAGAAAUGACGGUACCUGAAUAAGAAGCCCCGGCUAACUACGUGCCAGCAGCCGCGGUAAUACGUAGGGGGCAAGCGUUAUCCGGAAUUACUGGGUGUAAAGGGUGAGUAGGCGGCAUGGUAAGCCAGAUGUGAAAGCCUUGGGCUUAACCCGAGGAUUGCAUUUGGAACUAUCAAGCUAGAGUACAGGAGAGGAAAGCGGAAUUCCUAGUGUAGCGGUGAAAUGCGUAGAUAUUAGGAAGAACACCAGUGGCGAAGGCGGCUUUCUGGACUGAAACUGACGCUGAGGCACGAAAGCGUGGGGAGCGAACAGGAUUAGAUACCCUUGUAGUC
This 443-nucleotide ribosomal RNA is filed under the name uncultured bacterium. RNAcentral describes it as "partial 16S ribosomal RNA". It matches the Rfam family "Bacterial small subunit ribosomal RNA", at positions 338 to 795 of the family's 1533-position model. The record is from RNAcentral.